This 465-nucleotide ribosomal RNA is filed under the name uncultured bacterium. Its description in RNAcentral is "partial 16S ribosomal RNA". It matches the Rfam family "Bacterial small subunit ribosomal RNA", at positions 28 to 507 of the family's 1533-position model. The record is from RNAcentral.
GACGAACGCUGGCGGCGUGCUUAACACAUGCAAGUCGAACGGAAAGGCCCCUUUGGGGGUACUCGAGUGGCGAACGGGUGAGUAUCACGUGAGUAACCUGCCCUUGACUUCGGGAUAACUUCAGGAAACUGGGGCUAAUACCGGAUAGGAAUCCUUGCUGCAUGGUGGGGGUUGGAAAGCUUCGGCGGUUUUGGAUGGACUCGCGGCUUAUCAGCUUGUUGGUGGGGUAGUGGCUUACCAAGGCUUUGACGGGUAGCCGGCCUGAGAGGGCGACCGGCCACAUUGGGACUGAGAUACGGCCCAGACUCCUACGGGAGGCAGCAGUGGGGAAUAUUGCACAAGGGGCGGAAGCCUGAUGCAGCAACGCCGCGGGCGGGAUGACGGCCUUCGGGUUGUAAACCGCUUUCAGCAGGGGCGAAGCUUGUGGUGACGGUACCUGCAGAAGAAGCACCGGCUAACUACGUG